Molecule: non-coding RNA, 113 nt
Organism: Ceratotherium simum simum (southern white rhinoceros)
Lineage: Eukaryota; Metazoa; Chordata; Mammalia; Perissodactyla; Rhinocerotidae
Source: RefSeq, a predicted model, not a curated record
CAGUUCCACCUGCAGCUGCCUCCGCAGGGCCUCCAGGAGCCCGGCCCUCGGCUGCUCUGCCGGUGGCCGGGGUCCUGAGGCCACAGGUUCUGCCAGGCUGGGCUCAGGGCUGA